CACUAACAAGGUCAAUGAUGAAUUUGAUGUUUACAUACUUUUCUUCCUUGAGUUUUUGCACUGCAGAUUUUGUAGUCAAUAAGUAUUAUGGGCAAGAGAGAUAUACAAGUGCCCUAGUAUUUCAUGCAAAUUCAAUGGAAAGAAGUGCUUUUGGAAGAUUCUAGAGGAAAAUGCUAUACCAUAAGGACAUUCCAUGAGGGAAGGGGAGAUUGGAGCCAAGGUGACUGCAGCACACUAACUGCACCAGCUAGACAGUGGGAAGUGAUCCUUACAGUUUCUCUAAAUCUUCUGUUGACAAUUAAACAAAACAAGGACACAAGUAAAGUCCUUUCAAUUUUUCCCAUGUCAGCUAACAUAAUCUGAGGCACAUUCAUAUAUGGCUGCGAGUCUAUAAGUAUUUUUCUUCUAAUAUAUUCAGUUUGUCUGUAUUGGAUGUGUCAAAUACAAG
Molecule: long non-coding RNA, 448 nt
Organism: Gallus gallus (chicken)
Lineage: Eukaryota; Metazoa; Chordata; Aves; Galliformes; Phasianidae
Source: Ensembl